UUCGUUAAUCGUUAACGAUAACUUGUCGUGCAAAAAACUUUUUGCCACAGACGAAAUUGUAGCGCGUGGUGGUAAUCAGAUUCGAAUGAUAGGUGGGGAGUAUGGUGCAUUAUGGCGUAAUGAUGGCGCUAAAACUUACCUGCUGCUUACCAAUCAAGGUGAUGUUUAUGGUGGCUGGAAUACAUUAAGACCGUUUGCUAUUGAUAACGCAACCGGCGAACUGGUUAUUGGAACCAAACUGUCCGCAAGUCUGAACGGUAAUGCAUUAACAGCAACAAAGCUGCAAACGCCAAGACUGGUUUCUGGUGUUGAGUUUGAUGGUUCCAAAGAUAUUACUUUAACCGCCGCGCAUGUGGCUGCUUUUGCCAG
This 369-nucleotide ribosomal RNA is filed under the name Escherichia coli 5-366-08_S3_C2. RNAcentral's name for it is "partial 16S ribosomal RNA". Lineage: Bacteria; Pseudomonadati; Pseudomonadota; Gammaproteobacteria; Enterobacterales; Enterobacteriaceae. The record is from RNAcentral.